AAGUCGGGAGGGUGCCGGUGGGACGGCAGCCACGAAUAGACUUUAGAACCCCCGGUCAAAUGGGUGAAGCGUCGCGGCCCGGGCGAUGUGGAA
Non-coding RNA from Loktanella sp. 1ANDIMAR09, 93 nucleotides. The record is from Rfam. Lineage: Bacteria; Pseudomonadati; Pseudomonadota; Alphaproteobacteria; Rhodobacterales; Roseobacteraceae.